AGAAGGGAUGAAUCCUUCACUCUCUGCCCCCUGUGACAUCUCGCCUCUCUUCGUUAGUCUUCUCCGGAGGUUUUUUUUUCGUCUUCUUCGAAGUUUCGUGUGAUGUACACAAGAUCGGCGAGAGGAGUUGCAUAAAAAUUCAAUGGUAAAUGGGUAGAAGGAAACAAGAGAAGAUCGGUGGGAUGAAGGGGGAGGCGAGAGGAGGGAUAAUGAAGGCCUGACAGGGCGAGGACCGUAUCCAGGCGCGGCACCCUUAUACCUUUGAAUCCCGCUGUUCUCCGCCUGCAUGACUGCAUAGCGCUUGGUAAUACCCGGCCUGAACUGAAUUGGAUCUAUCGCGCGGGUCAGAAGGGUAAACUGAGGGGGAAGUACUAGGAGAGACUUGUCAACAGAAGGCAAAAGGGUUCCCUCGUGGAACUCAAGCUGCAAUGAGGGCAAGUGCACUGGCACUUCACUUUUACACGUAAUGUGCAGGGCAAUUCCGGCAUUAACUACUGGGAAAGAGAUUUUAAUUAACUCCGGGUCAUUGGGAGUUGAAAGGAAACUGAUUCAUUAUUCGAAAUUCAAGAGGAUAACAAUAGGAUAGAAGCUCGUCUUGUUCAGUGAAAAAAUCGGCCUCUACCUGUUUUCUACCCGAACGAAUCAAAACACAAGGAAGUAAAACUGAGAAGAGCCAUUGGUCAAAAGUACAGCCUUUUAACCUUAAAACACCAGUGUAAACUCUGAGUUUGUAUUUACAGUGUCAGUAAAGACAGUUGCACAACCACUGUUGUUACCUUUUUGGCAAGUACAACAGUUAGUUAUACUCAUAGUGACUUAUUAUUUUGUUACAAUGUGUUUAUUUAUUUCAUUAUUCAUUGUCACUAGAGACUUUUACCCCCGAAAGUUCAAUAAACUGCUUUUUUUA
Diachasma alloeum is the source of this 907-nucleotide long non-coding RNA. RefSeq lists it as uncharacterized. The record is from RefSeq and is a predicted model, not a curated record. Lineage: Eukaryota; Metazoa; Arthropoda; Insecta; Hymenoptera; Braconidae. The transcript has 3 exons.